This 410-nucleotide ribosomal RNA is filed under the name uncultured organism. RNAcentral describes it as "bacterial SSU rRNA". It matches the Rfam family "Bacterial small subunit ribosomal RNA", at positions 45 to 433 of the family's 1533-position model. The record is from RNAcentral.
UGCCUAAGACAUGCAAGUCGAACGAGACUAGUAUGUAGCACGAAGAAUUCCUCCACAGUGGAAGUUUUCGUGCUAUAUACAAGUUUAGUGGCAAACGGGUGAGUAAUGAGUACGAACGUACUCUCAAGCGGAGGAUAGCCCACCGAAAGGUGGAGUAAUACUCUAUGUGAUCGUAAGAUCAAAGACGCAAGUCACUUGAGAAGCGGCGUACUUACUACCAGCUAGUUGGUGAGGUAACGGCUCACCAAGGCGAUGACGGUUACCGGCUCUUAGCGGAGAGUCCGGCACAAUGGGACUGAGACACGGCCCAUACUUCUACGGAAGGCAGCAGUUAGGAAUUUUGCGCAAUGGACGAAAGUCUGACGCAGCGACACCGCGUGUGGGAUGAAGGCCUUAGGGUCGUAAACCAC